GAUUUGCGUCUAAUGGCACUGGAAGAAUUCACGGAUUAUUUAAGAUUUCCGUGGUUUCUCUGGUGCUAUAAGAAGCAGUCA
This 81-nucleotide microRNA precursor is filed under the name Stegodyphus mimosarum. RNAcentral describes it as "mir-263 microRNA precursor family". It matches the Rfam family "mir-263 microRNA precursor family". Lineage: Eukaryota; Metazoa; Arthropoda; Arachnida; Araneae; Eresidae. The record is from Rfam by way of RNAcentral.